CCGCUCGCUCUCUCUCUACAUUUUCUCGUUCCGCAGAGAAAGAAACGCGGAAACAACGACGAAGAAGACGACGACGACGAUUUAUGAUUCAAAAGUCCCUCAAGUCUCACUGUCCAUACAACUCAUUUUCAGCACAAUAUACAUAUAUAUAUUAUAUAUAAUUUCAGCACUCAAAAAAUAAAGAAAAUACAAAAAAUAAACGGGGUAAAAAAAUAAAAUUAAAAUACCUCUUUGCUUUCCUUGCCUUUGACCGAAUCGAGGAUGGGGAAUUCGCUUGGCUCAUUCGUUCAAUUUCAGGUCUUGCACGCUGACAGGAUCUGUUUUGGCUGGUAUUGAAGGCAGAUGGCGGUUUUCAGUUUCUACAAACUUAUAUAAAAUCUUGAAGCCUCAAGACUUGCUAGUGUGUGCUGUCAAAUUCUGAGAUUAGGAUGGGUUGUGGGUGUUCCAACCUCUCCGCGUGUUGUUGGGGCCCAGAAGUUGACGGACCAGUUCUUGAGACCCAAAGUGUGGAAAAUGAGGAGAGCAAUGAACUUGAUUUGCCUGCAUUUCAUGAAUACACAAUCGAGCAACUUAGGAUGGCGACAUCUGGAUUCGCUGUGGAGAAUAUAGUUUCUGAACACGGGGAAAAGGCCCCAAAUGUGGUUUACAAAGGGAAGCUUGAGGAUCAAAGACGGAUAGCUGUCAAAAGAUUCAACAGAUCAGCUUGGCCUGAUACCCGACAAUUUUUGGAAGAAGCAAGGGCUGUUGGGCAGCUCCGGAACACCCGAUUGGCAAAUUUACUUGGUUGUUGCUGUGAAAGUGACGAGAGACUGCUUGUUGCUGAAUAUAUGCCCAAUGAUACACUGGCAAAGCAUUUAUUCCAUUGGGAAACACAACCCAUGAAGUGGGCAAUGCGGUUAAGGGUGGCUUUAUAUCUUGCACAGGCCCUUGAAUAUUGUACCAGUAAAGGACGUGCCCUUUAUCAUGAUUUAAAUGCAUAUAGAAUUGUCUUUGAUGAUGAUUGUAACCCUAGACUUUCAUGCUUUGGUCUGAUGAAAAACAGUAGAGAUGGAAAAAGCUACAGUACAAACCUGGCAUUUACUCCUCCUGAGUAUCUAAGGACAGGAAGAGUUACCGCAGAAAGUGUAAUGUAUAGCUUUGGCACCCUUUUGCUUGACCUCCUCAGUGGAAAACAUAUUCCUCCGAGCCAUGCACUCGACCUUAUUCGCGACAGGAAUCUUCAGAUGCUAACAGAUUCUUGUUUGGAAGGCCAAUUCUCAAAUGACGAGGGAACAGAAUUAGUCCGUUUGGCUUCAAGAUGUUUGCAAUAUGAACCGCGAGAGCGUCCUAAUCCAAAGUCAUUAGUUGCUGCCUUGGUUCCUCUUCAGAAGGACACAGAGGUUCCUUCUCAUGUAUUGAUGGGUAUACCACAUGGUGCAGCAGCUUUACCUAAUCUAUCACCAUUUGGUGAAGCUUGUGUGAGGACGGAUUUAACGGCCAUACAUGAGAUCAUAGAAAGUAUUGGAUACAAGGAUGAUGAAGGUGCAGCAACUGAGCUUUCAGCUUUCAUUCCAGAUGUGGACCAACCAGAUGCAGGAGACAUUGAACUCAAAGAAAAAGGGUGAUGUUGCUUUCCGUCAUAAAGAUUUCAGAGCUGCAAUUGAGUGCUACGCCCAGUUUAUUGAUGUCGGAACCAUGGUUUCCCCGACAGUUUUUGCACGCCGUAGCUUGUCAUACCUCAUGAAUGAUAUGCCACAGGAAGCCUUGAAUGAUGCGGCACAAGCCCAAGUGAUUUUCCCUGUUUGGCACAUUGCCUUGUAUUUGCAAGCUGCAGCACUUUUUGCACUUGGAAAGAAUGACGAGGCACAGGUAGCCCUCAAAGAGGGUAGUGUACUUGAAAGUAAAAGGAAUGCAAGUGCUUGACGGUUAGCUGCUAAAGGUCGAACAUGAAUCUCUUUCCUUUGUAUUGAACCGCUCUUUUCCGGGAAGAUGAGCACCGGACAGGGACUCUUAGUCAGGAGGUUAAUCAGUCAUCGAGUAGGCCGCAGAGACGGAACAGAAGCAAGUCAUUAAUCUUCUAUUGCAUGACUGGUUCGUGCGUUGUGGAUGUUGAAGCAUUCAUUGGCAAAAUUUACUGGACGGGUUGGUUUGGUCUCUUUUGUUUAUGACGAAUUUGCCCUUCAUUGUUGUUCAAAUUACCUGUUUCCAAUACAAGAAUGUUGGGGAAAUAAUCACAUCAUAUGAUGCAUUUGAAACGUUAUAUAUAUUUUGUAAAGGAUUUAAUCUUCUGUUGUUUUGAUCUUGCAUUGAAAAAGGUGAAGAGAACUGCUGACAAUGGCAUGCUUGUAAUUUCCCUGCUUUUUUACUUUUUUAUUUAUAUAUAUUUUUUUGAAAUAAAAUUUGUUGUUUAUUGUGCGCAAA
RNA transcript from Malus domestica (apple), 2400 nucleotides. It is a transcript of the gene named serine/threonine-protein kinase BSK7-like, with no coding region annotated. The record is from RefSeq and is a predicted model, not a curated record. Lineage: Eukaryota; Viridiplantae; Streptophyta; Magnoliopsida; Rosales; Rosaceae.